This 800-nucleotide ribosomal RNA is filed under the name Rhodococcus qingshengii. Its description in RNAcentral is "bacterial SSU rRNA". It matches the Rfam family "Bacterial small subunit ribosomal RNA", at positions 33 to 853 of the family's 1533-position model. The record is from RNAcentral. Lineage: Bacteria; Bacillati; Actinomycetota; Actinomycetes; Mycobacteriales; Nocardiaceae.
GCCUUGCCGGCGUGCUUACCAUGCAGUCGAGCGGUAAGGCCUUUCGGGGUACACGAGCGGCGAACGGGUGAGUAACACGUGGGUGAUCUGCCCUGCACUUCGGGAUAAGCCUGGGAAACUGGGUCUAAUACCGGAUAUGACCUCCUAUCGCAUGGUGGGUGGUGGAAAGAUUUAUCGGUGCAGGAUGGGCCCGCGGCCUAUCAGCUUGUUGGUGGGGUAAUGGCCUACCAAGGCGACGACGGGUAGCCGACCUGAGAGGGUGACCGGCCACACUGGGACUGAGACACGGCCCAGACUCCUACGGGAGGCAGCAGUGGGGAAUAUUGCACAAUGGGCGAAAGCCUGAUGCAGCGACGCCGCGUGAGGGAUGACGGCCUUCGGGUUGUAAACCUCUUUCAGCAGGGACGAAGCGCAAGUGACGGUACCUGCAGAAGAAGCACCGGCUAACUACGUGCCAGCAGCCGCGGUAAUACGUAGGGUGCAAGCGUUGUCCGGAAUUACUGGGCGUAAAGAGUUCGUAGGCGGUUUGUCGCGUCGUUUGUGAAAACCAGCAGCUCAACUGCUGGCUUGCAGGCGAUACGGGCAGACUUGAGUACUGCAGGGGAGACUGGAAUUCCUGGUGUAGCGGUGAAAUGCGCAGAUAUCAGGAGGAACACCGGUGGCGAAGGCGGGUCUCUGGGCAGUAACUGACGCUGAGGAACGAAAGCGUGGGUAGCGAACAGGAUUAGAUACCCUGGUAGUCCACGCCGUAACGGUGGGCGCUAGGUGUGGGUUCCUUCCACGGAAUCCGUGCCGUAGCU